GUUUUUUCAGAGUGCUGAUUUGAGGGAAUUGGGUGCAGAUCUCAUUCAAGUAAUCAUUCUCCAAUACCACUCGUGUUACCUGCCAAAAAUGAAAGUGGCAUAUGAAUCACAAUAAUCCACUCAUUAAUUUGUGGAUUCAGAGCCUGCCAAGGAACAUCAGAAAUCCACACGAUGUCCCUGAGUUUUAGGGACUUUGAAAGAAUAGUGAAAGUGGUGAAUCUGCCAGUUGUAACUAUGUCGGAGGCCCUUCCUGAGGUGCCCCUUCUUGAGUGUUACUGUGACCUAAUGACUUGGAGAUACACUUUUGCUUGAGAAGAGCUAUUGGAUCCUCUGCCUGGUACCUCAGCCCAUUCAGCUUCUCUCCGAGGUGAUAACUACUAGAGAUGCUCCACAUCUUCCUUACAGAAGAUCUUUUUAUUACCUAAAAAAGUAAACUGCAUCCUGUAGCUAUCCUCUUAAAACUUCUGCUUUACGGAAUAGAGAAUGAACUUGUUACAGAUGCAUCAGCGACAUCAAACUUGCUUCUGUUUUGCCUGAUUGCCCUCUCAGCCUUCUGACAAUCUGAAACUUUCAUUUUGGAUGGGAUUGAAGGAGUUGUGUUAGUAUCUGUGUAACCCCUUUUCCUAUACAUUAUCUGCUCUUCUCUUCUCCUUCUCCUUGGUGUCUGGUUUGUCUUGGCUGCUUUUUAAAAUUCUGUUGCCUCUAGUGAGGAACUGCCAGAUUAAACCAGUGAAGAGAAACCAGGUGACUGUCUCUACUUUUACAAAUAUAGGUUAUGUAUAAUAAAUUCAUGUUUUACAUCUAUGCA
Molecule: long non-coding RNA, 808 nt
Filed under: Apteryx owenii (little spotted kiwi)
Lineage: Eukaryota; Metazoa; Chordata; Aves; Apterygiformes; Apterygidae
Description: lncRNA (ENSAOWG00000018061.1)
Source: RNAcentral